Molecule: long non-coding RNA, 720 nt
Filed under: Androctonus crassicauda
Lineage: Eukaryota; Metazoa; Arthropoda; Arachnida; Scorpiones; Buthidae
Source: RNAcentral
AAAAUACGUUUCUCGCUCAUAUUCUGACACUGCUUGCUUUCCUGUGUAAUCACAUACGGCGAGAAACGACGAGAGCGAGAAUUUAAAAAUUCGCUCGCUAAACAUAGCACGCGAAUUCGAUGACGUCAGAAAUCGCUCGCAGCUCUAAAUUCGCGUCUGCAUGGCUGUAACCAAAGUUUGAUUUUCGUGGCAUAGAUGAGCUCGUUUAACGAUUUUUCGGCUACCGACUGCUCCAUUCUUUUUCUUUUUAUUUUCGGCCCGCUUGAGCUAAAUAGUUUUUUUUUUUGGGCGCCCAGUAUUUCUGGUCGGAGUAUUAUUGUUUUAGUUGACAGAAUGACAGUCCACGACUUGUGCUUGGCAAAUUUAAGUUUUCUAGUGCAAAUUCUCCUCAUAACCAUUUCGAAUUUUCACUUCUCUUACACGAUGAGACUUCUUCCAUCGUUGAUUAAGUGAAAUUAAAAAUGUGCUUAUACUUCGUCUAAGGGUGCGACUAUGCAGACGCGAAUUUGGAGCUGCGAGCGAUUUCUGACGUCAUCUUGACGUCAUCACGCUCGCGCAGGUGCGAUCAUGCAGACGCGAGAAAGUCGAAAUAUCGCACACGAGAGCGAAAAUACGUUUCUCGCUCAUAUUUUGACACUGCUUGCUUUCCUGUGUAAUCACAUACGGCGAGAAACGACGAGAGCGCGAAUUUGAUGACGUCAGAAAUCGCUCUCAGCUUUA